Molecule: ribosomal RNA, 253 nt
Filed under: uncultured bacterium
Lineage: Bacteria
Description: partial 16S ribosomal RNA
Rfam family: Bacterial small subunit ribosomal RNA
Source: RNAcentral
UACGUAGGUGGCAAGCGUUGUCCGGAAUUACUGGGUGUAAAGGGAGCGCAGGCGGGAAGCCAAGUCAGCUGUGAAAACUACGGGCUUAACUUGUAGACUGCAGUUGAAACUGGUUUUCUUGAGUGAAGUAGAGGUUGGCGGAAUUCCGAGUGUAGCGGUGAAAUGCAUAGAUAUUCGGAGGAACACCGGUGGCGAAGGCGGCCAACUGGGCUUUAACUGACGCUGAGGCUCGAAAGUGUGGGGAGCAAACAGG